GAUGAACGCUGGCGGCGUGCCUAAUACAGGCAAGUCGAGCGAACAGACGAUUAGCUUUCUCCUCUUACGGUAGCGGCUUACGUGUGAUUAACACGUGGAUAACCUGCCUAUAAGACUGAGAGAACUUCGAGAAACGGCAUCUAGUAGCGCUGAAUAUAUUGACCGGCAUGGGUCAAUAGUGUAAGACGUGUUUGCUGUCACUGAGAGAUGUAGCCUCGCCUCAGUAGCUAGUUGGUAAGGUAACGGCCUACCAUGGCACCGAUGCUUAGCCGACCUGAGAGGGCGAUCGGCCACACUGGAACUGAGACACGGUCUAGACACCUACGGGAGGCAGCAGUAGGCAACCUUGGGCAAUGGGCGUGCGCAUAAUGCAGCAACGGCGCGUGCGUCAUGACGGUCUUCGGAUCGUAAACCUCUGUUAUUAGCGACGAACCAAUGUGUAAGUAACUAUGCACGUCUUGCCGGUACCCCCUAAGAAAGGCACGGCUAACUACGUG
This 497-nucleotide ribosomal RNA is filed under the name uncultured bacterium. RNAcentral describes it as "partial 16S ribosomal RNA". It matches the Rfam family "Bacterial small subunit ribosomal RNA", at positions 28 to 507 of the family's 1533-position model. The record is from RNAcentral.